This 453-nucleotide long non-coding RNA is filed under the name Coccomyxa subellipsoidea. RNAcentral's name for it is "long non-coding RNA (CSUB_LNC000161)". Lineage: Eukaryota; Viridiplantae; Chlorophyta; Trebouxiophyceae; Coccomyxaceae. The record is from RNAcentral.
UGUAAGAGAGUAAAUCCGAGAAGUAAGCUUCCGCUUGUUCUCUCUCAGCGCCUGCAGCAAGGGACUGGGCAGCACUCAUGGACGAGCCUCUGCGACGAGGUGACAUGGCCAGAGAUGCUGUGCGACUGUACGCUGCUGACAUUGAUUGCGAUCCUGACGUUGAGCGUGGUGGUAAAGCUGCUUUGCCAGGAUGGCUGAAAGCAGCAGACGAUGUUGAAGGCUGACUAUCAGAUGCAUGCUGCGAUCUCGGUGUGUAGGAAUCAAGUGAUGUCAUCCUGCUCCGCUGCCAAGACCCCUUGGGUGGGGAACUUUCUAACAAGACAUCAUAAUCAAUUGGCUAAUUGGAUUGGAAAUAGAGAAGAACAUGGAAGAGGCGCACUCGCGACGCAGAUACCUGACAAGCUGAACAACAAAUGCAGUCCAUAUGCAUGUUAUUGGCGCUGUGAGAGACUU